CUCCUUGUUAGAGACUGUCCAUCAGCUGGCUCAAUCAACUUUGUUUGUUCCUGCAUUUUCAGUUCUUUUGUGAGUGCCCAAGUCAUUUAGCUCACUUGGUGUAUCAGCUGGAGGCCUUGAGUGCAAGAUUGGCUUCACAAGAAAAAGACCCUCAUUUGAAGAGGCCCUGUUCCUUCCAACUUUACCAGCUACUCUUUGGAUGGCUGGGUGCCUGGCUGACUUCAGCUGGCCAUCUGGGGAUGACUGCAUUCAGGGACACGAAGGUUGCAAAAUGGAACAACAAAAGUUCAGCUCUCUGACCUAGGUCCAAGUCAAAGACAUGAGCCCAAGAUGAUGUCUCAUGCAAGUCUGUAUCAAGGAUCCACACUGCAAAGGCCCAAAGUUCCUGUUAACUAUAUACUGUAAUUAGAACCUCCUGAGAAAACAGCAAGACCACUGAGAUGUCAAAUAUGUCCUACAAAAAGGCCAAGAAA
This is a long non-coding RNA of Chinchilla lanigera (long-tailed chinchilla), 473 nucleotides long. RefSeq lists it as uncharacterized. The record is from RefSeq and is a predicted model, not a curated record. NCBI's taxonomy places the organism in Eukaryota, Metazoa, Chordata, Mammalia, Rodentia, Chinchillidae. The transcript has 3 exons.